RNAcentral lists this transfer RNA (72 nucleotides) under Camelus bactrianus (Bactrian camel). It matches the Rfam family "tRNA". Rfam says of the family: Transfer RNA (tRNA) molecules are approximately 80 nucleotides in length. Their secondary structure includes four short double-helical elements and three loops (D, anti-codon, and T loops). Further hydrogen bonds mediate the characteristic L-shaped molecular structure. tRNAs have two regions of fundamental functional importance: the anti-codon, which is responsible for specific mRNA codon recognition, and the 3' end, to which the tRNAs corresponding amino acid is attached (by aminoacyl-tRNA synthetases). tRNAs cope with the degeneracy of the genetic code in two manners: having more than one tRNA (with a specific anti-codon) for a particular amino acid; and 'wobble' base-pairing, i.e. permitting non-standard base-pairing at the 3rd anti-codon position. The record is from Rfam by way of RNAcentral. RNAcentral also lists the same sequence under 2 other names. Lineage: Eukaryota; Metazoa; Chordata; Mammalia; Artiodactyla; Camelidae.
GAGGGUAUAGCUCAGUGGUAGGGUACUUGCCUAGCAUGCAUGAGGUCCUGGCUUCAAUCCCCAGGACUUCCA